This is a long non-coding RNA of Medicago truncatula (barrel medic), 637 nucleotides long. RefSeq lists it as uncharacterized. The record is from RefSeq and is a predicted model, not a curated record. The transcript has 3 exons. NCBI's taxonomy places the organism in Eukaryota, Viridiplantae, Streptophyta, Magnoliopsida, Fabales, Fabaceae.
GCUUGUCGAAUUCAAGGGCCACUUACCUAUUCACGCACCAAGCCCAAAGAGUGUUGGGCGUGAGGGGGGUGUAUUAGGAAAAACUUAAGUCCCACAUCGGAUUUAAGACUCUUGAUGAAAGUUUAUAAAGAGGAGGCAAUCCUCACCUUACAAGCCGGUUUACCAUUGUACCAACAUCAACAACCACAAUGGGCUUAUCCACCAUAUCAUAACCAAAAUCAACAAUGGAAUUUUCCACCGUGGCAGCAACCUUGGUCCGUACCCUACAACGGGAAACUCGAACAAGCAAGCUGGUAUUCUUGGUCAAAAGCCAACUCAUGAGGCUCAUGUAGCAAGCACUACACCGUACCAGGCCAGUCACCAAGGAUCCUCUUCAUAUGCUCCAACGGACAUUCAAGCUGCUAUGCAUACCUUCUCUAUUUCUCCUCCAGAUGAUCAAUGGUAUAUGGACACCAGGGCUACAUCGCAUAUGACGGAGAACGGAGGAUAAGCUGAAGAACAGAUCGAGAUUUUGGAAAAGAUUGCGCCAGACUGGAUUUGCAAGAAGCUUCAAGAAUGCAUUAAAUUUGGACUCAGUUCAGUAAAGGGUGACCAAAGGAGAUGAAUGAAGGGUUUUUGUUGGUAAUGCUAUGCAUUG